Molecule: ribosomal RNA, 218 nt
Filed under: uncultured delta proteobacterium
Lineage: Bacteria; Deltaproteobacteria
Description: partial 16S ribosomal RNA
Rfam family: Bacterial small subunit ribosomal RNA
Source: RNAcentral
AGAGUUUGAUCCUGGCUCAGUUCCGAUUGGAGUCUGCAAUUCGACUCCAUGAAGACGGAAUCGCUAGUAAUGGCGGAUCAGCUACGCCGCCGUGAAUACGUUCCCGGGCCUUGUACACACCGCCCGUCAAGCGAUGGGAGCUGGGGGUACCUAAAAACUUCACUUGUUGAGGUCUAAGGUAAAACCGGUGACUGGCGCUAAGUCGUAACAAGGUAACC